RNAcentral lists this ribosomal RNA (432 nucleotides) under uncultured bacterium. RNAcentral describes it as "partial 16S ribosomal RNA". It matches the Rfam family "Bacterial small subunit ribosomal RNA", at positions 29 to 507 of the family's 1533-position model. The record is from RNAcentral.
ACGAACGCUGGCGGCAUGCCUCACCCCUGCAAGUCGAACGAGACCUUCGGGUCUAGUGGCGCACGGGUGCGUAACGCGUGGGAACCUGCCCUUAGGUUCGGAAUAACUCCCCGAAAGGGGUGCUAAUACCGGAUAAUGUCUUCGGACCAAAGAUUUAUCGCCUUUGGAUGGGCCCGCGUUGGAUUAGCUAGUUGGUAGGGUAAAAGCCUACCAAGGCGACGAUCCAUAGCUGGUCUGGGAGGAUGAUCAGCCACACUGGGACUGAGACACGGCCCAGACUCCUACGGGAGGCAGCAGUGGGGAAUAUUGGACAAUGGGCGAGAGCCUGAUCCAGCAAUGCCGCGUGAGUGAUGAAGGCCUUAGGGUUGUAAAGCUCUUUUACCCGGGAUGAUAAUGACAGUACCGGGAGAAUAAGCUCCGGCUAACUCCGUG